Molecule: long non-coding RNA, 585 nt
Filed under: Oryza sativa tropical japonica subgroup
Lineage: Eukaryota; Viridiplantae; Streptophyta; Magnoliopsida; Poales; Poaceae
Description: lncRNA OsAzu_08g0018780
Source: RNAcentral
CCGCACCUGCUCAUCUUCGGCUGCACGAGGUGGAGGAGCAACGCCGCCGCCGCCACCGAUGCCGCCGUGGAUUCCGUCGACCUCGGCCACCACCUUGAUAAGCUAGUGCGUGACGGGGACCUCGCCGACGGGGGAUGGACCACCGGAGGAGCGGUACCGCGGGCGGUCAUCAUCGCCAGAGUUGGCGCGGUAGAGCUUCUUGAUGAGCUCUUCUUCUUCUCCUUCCCGCCGGAGCUGGAGACGACGGCGUACCUCUCCAUCUUGCACGCGAACAGCCCCAUGAAGGCGUGCUCCACCGGCCUGUCCCAGUACUCCGUCUUCUCCCCCAUCAGCGCCGGCGACGUCGCCACGCACCGAAAGCCGCAGGACGCGAGCACAGCGCCACCACUGGUGCCAACAGCAAUGCCGCCGCCAUUGUCUACUAAUCAAUCCCUCAAAACAAGCGAUUUAGAGUGGAACUACGAACUAAAACUACCAUUCAUCAAUCACCCAGACCGAAAUCAGAGAAAGGGGGAAAGGUGGGACCUGGACGGGGAGGGCGUCCAUGUCAGUGCGGAGCGCGACGAUGGGGGGAAGGCUGGAGCC